AGGUAAGCUACUAAGAGCGAAUGGUGGAUGCCUUGACUGGUAAAGGCGAUGAAGGACGUACUAGACUGCGAUAAGCUACGGGGAGCUGUCAAGAAGCUUUGAUCCGUAGAUUUCCGAAUGGGGCAACCCAAUGUAUAGAGAUAUACAUUACCUAUAUAGGAGCGAACGAGGGGAAUUGAAACAUCUUAGUACCCUCAGGAAAAGAAAUCAAUAGAGAUUGCGUCAGUAGCGGCGAGCGAAAGCGCAAGAGGGCAAACCCAGUGCUUGCACUGGGGGUUGUAGGACUGCAAUGUGCAAGAGGUAAGUUUAGCAGAACAUUCUGGAAAGUAUAACCAUAGAGGGUGAUAGUCCCGUAUGCGAAAAACAAACCUUAGCUAGCAGUAUCCUGAGUAGGGCGGGACACGAGGAAUCCUGUCUGAAUCCGGGUCGACCACGAUCCAACCCUAAAUACUAAUACCAGAUCGAUAGUGCACAAGUACCGUGAGGGAAAGGUGAAAAGAACUGAGGUGAUCAGAGUGAAAUAGAACCUGAAACCAUUUGCUUACAAUCAUUCAGAGCCCUAUGUAGCAAUACAGGGUGAUGGACUGCCUUUUGCAUAAUGAGCCUGCGAGUUGUGGUGUCUGGCAAGGUUAAGCAAACGCGAAGCCGUAGCGAAAGCGAGUCUGAAUAGGGCGCUUAGUCAGAUGCUGCAGACCCGAAACGAAGUGAUCUAUCCAUGAGCAAGUUGAAGCUAGUGUAAGAACUAGUGGAGGACUGAACCCAUAGGCGUUGAAAAGCCCCGGGAUGACUUGUGGAUAGGGGUGAAAGGCCAAUCAAACUUCGUGAUAGCUGGUUCUCUCCGAAAUAUAUUUAGGUAUAGCGUUGUGUCGUAAUAUAAGGGGGUAGAGCACUGAAUGGGCUAGGGCAUACACCAAUGUACCAAACCCUAUCAAACUCCGAAUACCUUAUAUGUAAUCACAGCAGUCAGGCGGCGAGUGAUAAAAUCCGUCGUCAAGAGGGAAACAACCCAGACUACCAGCUAAGGUCCCUAAAUCUUACUUAAGUGGAAAACGAUGUGAAGUUACUUAAACAACCAGGAGGUUGGCUUAGAAGCAGCCAUCCUUUAAAGAAAGCGUAAUAGCUCACUGGUCUAGUGAUUUUGCGCGGAAAAUAUAACGGGGCUAAAGUAAGUACCGAAGCUGUAGACUUAGUUUACUAAGUGGUAGGAGAGCGUUCUAUUUGCGUCGAAGGUAUACCGGUAAGGAGUGCUGGAGCGAAUAGAAGUGAGCAUGCAGGCAUGAGUAGCGAUAAUUAAUGUGAGAAUCAUUAACGCCGUAAACCCAAGGUUUCCUACGCGAUGCUCGUCAUCGUAGGGUUAGUCGGGUCCUAAGUCGAGUCCGAAAGGGGUAGACGAUGGCAAAUUGGUUAAUAUUCCAAUACCAACAUUAGUGUGCGAUGGAAGGACGCUUAGGGCUAAGGGGGCUAGCGGAUGGAAGUGCUAGUCUAAGGUCGUAGGAGGUUAUACAGGCAAAUCCGUAUAACAAUACUCCGAGAACUGAAAGGCUUUUUGAAGU
This 1553-nucleotide ribosomal RNA is filed under the name Campylobacter jejuni. Its description in RNAcentral is "partial 23S ribosomal RNA". It matches the Rfam family "Bacterial large subunit ribosomal RNA", at positions 1 to 1581 of the family's 2925-position model. The record is from RNAcentral. Lineage: Bacteria; Pseudomonadati; Campylobacterota; Epsilonproteobacteria; Campylobacterales; Campylobacteraceae.